GGUCUGUUAGCUCAGUUGGUAGAGCAUUUGCUCGACAAGCAAGGGGUCAGCGGUUCGAGUCCGUUACAGACCA
RNAcentral lists this transfer RNA (73 nucleotides) under Metabacillus bambusae. RNAcentral describes it as "tRNA-Val". It matches the Rfam family "tRNA". From Rfam's summary of the family: Transfer RNA (tRNA) molecules are approximately 80 nucleotides in length. Their secondary structure includes four short double-helical elements and three loops (D, anti-codon, and T loops). Further hydrogen bonds mediate the characteristic L-shaped molecular structure. tRNAs have two regions of fundamental functional importance: the anti-codon, which is responsible for specific mRNA codon recognition, and the 3' end, to which the tRNAs corresponding amino acid is attached (by aminoacyl-tRNA synthetases). tRNAs cope with the degeneracy of the genetic code in two manners: having more than one tRNA (with a specific anti-codon) for a particular amino acid; and 'wobble' base-pairing, i.e. permitting non-standard base-pairing at the 3rd anti-codon position. Lineage: Bacteria; Bacillati; Bacillota; Bacilli; Caryophanales; Bacillaceae. The record is from RNAcentral.